AGCAGUUAUUUCAAAGCGAGGCUUUUCUGUGUUGAUGAUCGUUUUGCCAGAGAUACAAACUACUUGUUCUUUGCUCAGUUUGUGACUGAAAUACACUUGGCCACAUCCAGCAUGACGAUACAGUUGAGGAAAGGAAAGCCAAUGACUCGAGAUGGACGAAAAAUAACGUCUGGUAUGCUGCAAAACAAACGAGAGGUAGAGAAACUGGUGAGGAACAAAGAUGCAGUCAGAUUCAUGCAGCCGCUGAGAGGAACACCAGCCUACUGGGAGAAAACCACACGAGACCUUUUUGCCAUGAUCAGACAGUUGGGAACUCCCACAUUCUUUUGUACAUUUUCUGCAGCUGAGAUGCGUUGGCCUGAAGUGAUUGAGGCAAUAAAAAGACAGCAAGGUGAGGAGGUGAACUUUGAAGGGCUCGACUGGUCAGCAAAGUGUGACAUUCUGAGAAGCAAUCCCGUGACAACAAUGCGCAUGUUUGAUAAGCGUGUUGAGGCCUUAUUCAGAGAUGUGCUCUUAUCUCCUGCACAGCCUCUUGGCAAAGUCGUUGACUACUUUUACCGAGUUGAGUUUCAGCACAGAGGAAGUCCACACAUUCACUGUCUCAUAUGGGUAGAAGGUGCACCUGUGUUUGAGGAGGAUGAUGAUCACACUGUGUCAGCUUUUGUGUCUAAAUACAUCACAGCUCAGCUACCUGACCAACUCACACAACCUGAACUGUACAAGAAGGUCACAGAGGUGCAAAUACACAGCAAAAAACACUCACGGACAUGUUUCAGAAGCCCCAGCUCUGGUUGCAGAUUUGGUUUUCCUAAACCACCUUCCAGAAAGACAAUAAUAUCGAGACCUGGUGAGGGCGUUGCUCCACUGCAACUGCAAAUAGCAAAGUCCAAGCUCCAACCACUGAACUUGUUGCUGAAUGAACCUGAAACUGCCUCACUCAGUUUGCAGCAGCUCCUUGCUAAAUGCAACUUAACACUCCAAGAGUAUGAAGGAUGCCUCAAUGUCAUCAACAAAUCCAGUGCAGUGAUCCUGAAACGUGAGCCAAAGGACUGCUGGGUAAAUGGAUAUAAUGCACAUCUACUGGAAGCCUGGGAUGCCAAUAUUGAUGUCAGUUAUAUUCUCAAUGCAUAUUCAUGCAUCAUGUAUCUCACCAGCUACAUCACCAAAAAGGAAUCUGGACUUUCUGAGUACCUCAAAACAGUCAUUGAAAACUCCACCAAAGACCACGUCAAUGAAUGUGAUGAAAUGAGGGAAAUCAUGCAGGCGUACUCUAAAAAGAGAGAGGUCAGUGCUCAGGAGUGUGUGACUCGCGCAUGUGGAAUAAACAUGAAGAAGUGUUCACGUGGUGUCAUAUUCGUACCAACAGAUGACAAC
Molecule: long non-coding RNA, 1374 nt
Organism: Gasterosteus aculeatus aculeatus (three-spined stickleback)
Lineage: Eukaryota; Metazoa; Chordata; Actinopteri; Perciformes; Gasterosteidae
Source: Ensembl